GUCUUAACUGGGCGUUAAGUUGCAGGGUAUAGACCCGAAACCCGGUGAUCUAGCCAUGGGCAGGUUGAAGGUUGGGUAACACUAACUGGAGGACCGAACCGACUAAUGUUGAAAAAUUAGCGGAUGACUUGUGGCUGGGGGUGAAAGGCCAAUCAAACCGGGAGAUAGCUGGUUCUCCCCGAAAGCUAUUUAGGUAGCGCCUCGUGAAUUCAUCUCCGGGGGUAGAGCACUGUUUCGGCAAGGGGGUCAUCCCGACUUACCAACCCGAUGCAAACUGCGAAUACCGGAGAAUGUUAUCACGGGAGACACACGGCGGGUGCUAACGUCCGUCGUGAAGAGGGAAACAACCCAGACCGCCAGCUAAGGUCCCAAAGUCAUGGUUAAGUGGGAAACGAUGUGGGAAGGCCCAGACAGCCAGGAUGUUGGCUUAGAAGCAGCCAUCAUUUAAAGAAAGCGUAAUAGCUCACUGGUCGAGUCGGCCUGCGCGGAAGAUGUAACGGGGCUAAACCAUG
This 512-nucleotide ribosomal RNA is filed under the name Escherichia coli. RNAcentral's name for it is "partial 23S ribosomal RNA". It matches the Rfam family "Bacterial large subunit ribosomal RNA", at positions 681 to 1191 of the family's 2925-position model. Lineage: Bacteria; Pseudomonadati; Pseudomonadota; Gammaproteobacteria; Enterobacterales; Enterobacteriaceae. The record is from RNAcentral.